CAGUCGCCGCGGUAAAACGAGGGGGGCAAGCGUUGUUCGGAAUUAUUGGGCGUAAAGGGUGCGUAGGCGGUUUCGUAAGUCUUAUGUGAAAUCUAUGGGCUCAACCCAUAGUCUGCAUGGGAAACUGCGAGGCUUGAGGAUGGGAGAGGUGAGUGGAAUUUCCGGUGUAGCGGUGAAAUGCGUAGAUAUCGGAAGGAACACCUGUGGCGAAAGCGGCUCACUGGACCAUUUCUGACGCUGAUGCACGAAAGCUAGGGGAGCAAACAGGAUUAGAUACCCCCGUAGUCCCUGUCUCUUAUAC
Molecule: ribosomal RNA, 301 nt
Filed under: uncultured bacterium
Lineage: Bacteria
Description: partial 16S ribosomal RNA
Rfam family: Bacterial small subunit ribosomal RNA
Source: RNAcentral